RNAcentral lists this ribosomal RNA (446 nucleotides) under uncultured bacterium. RNAcentral's name for it is "partial 16S ribosomal RNA". It matches the Rfam family "Bacterial small subunit ribosomal RNA", at positions 330 to 793 of the family's 1533-position model. The record is from RNAcentral.
UCCAGACUCCUACGGGAGGCAGCAGUGGGGGAUAUUGCACAAUGGGGGAAACCCUGAUGCAGCAACGCCGCGUGAGUGAAGAAGGUCUUCGGAUUGUAAAGCUCUGUUCUUGGUGAAGAUAAUGACGGUAGCCAAGGAGAAAGCUCCGGCUAACUACGUGCCAGCAGCCGCGGUAAUACGUAGGGAGCGAGCGUUAUCCGGAUUUACUGGGUGUAAAGGGAGCGUAGACGGCGGCGCAAGUCCGGAGUGAAAGCCCGCGGCCCAACCGUGGGACUGCUCUGGAAACUGUGCGGCUUGAGUGCGGGAGGGGCAGGCGGAAUUCCUGGUGUAGCGGUGAAAUGCGUAGAUAUCAGGAGGAACACCGGUGGCGAAGGCGGCCUGCUGGACUGCGACUGACGUUGAGGCCCGAAAGCGUGGGGAGCAAACAGGAUUAGAUACCCCAGUAA